AACUUUUCCUAUGAACUCUUCUCUAAAGCAGGUCACAGGGAAAAAAAGGGUUUAAAGAGAAAUAACUUCUCCGGGCAAAAACUGAGGUUAGCGGGCCUAUCAGCUGUUUCUUCUCACUCCACCACUGCUGCUGACUGGAGGAGCAGCCUGGAAAGCAGCCGCCCUCCCGCAAACAGCAGAAUGACGCAUCAUCCAUAAAAAAUGUGAAUGUGAGGACGGUGGGACCAUCCUGGCACACUGAGCAGCAGGGACCUCCGAGCCCUCAGAUGUCAUCCAGCCAGGCUGACCAGAAUGGUGGUGAUAUGAAGAGUUGGGGAAUUCGACUUGAAUACAAAACAUAACACUGCUUUCACUUAAAAAGGUUGGUGAACCAUACUCCAACAGAAAGGGGACAUAAGACUGGCUCUGCUGGAGUGAGGAAGCUGACUGAGGGAAGAACCAGAAGGCUGCCAAAAUACAAUUGUGUGCCUUUAAAGGAAAUAACAACAAGAAUUAGGAGCGCCCUGGAGGCAAGGUCUGCUGCUGGGGAAACCAAACCACAGUAACUUCAGAAAUAUAUACUUGGAAUAUGUCAUGUAUUAAUGGGUAAAGACACCGUGGAUAUGAAGGAAAUCACCUAUGGGAGAAUAUUAAGAAGAGAAGAAGGGGCUGCUGGCUGUAGUGAAAUGUAUAAAAAGGAGAGUGUGAUCCUAGUUUCUGUCUCUAACUAUGAGUUACUUGUGAUUAACUUCAAAUAUUCUCUCCAUAAGAAGAGGCCCAGAAGAAGAAGAUGAGCUUCAGUUAUUCUAGCACAACUGCUGUGAUAUUUGUAAAUAUUCAAAACCUAUAAUAAAAUGUAUAAAAGGAAACUCCAUUUGAAAUGAUUUGAAAUCUCACAUGGAAAUCUAUUUUUUUUAAAUCAGAGCUUAGUAAGAGAAAAUAACAGAACAUUGUAAUAAUUGAAUUACAAAAACAACUGAAUUUUGGAAAAUUUAUUUUCUCUCAUGUGAUGUGUGUGUAUGUGUGUGUGUGUGUGUGUGUAUCUAUUUAGCAAUGGCGUUAUUCUAUCAAAUGGGAUUAGAUUCAUUUUUGACUCCUGCUAAGCACCCUGUCCCCCCAACCCCAAGAUUAUGAAAGCGGAAGGGAAGGGGGAGAUAGGAAAUAUGACUUAUUUAAACUGUAUAAAAAUGCUGAAAUAAAAUGAACAUUCAAAACUCAUGUGAUUGAAUUUAAUCUUUCUUUUGUUCAACACAUUCAC
This 1237-nucleotide long non-coding RNA is filed under the name Homo sapiens (human). RNAcentral's name for it is "non-protein coding LINC01829:28". The record is from RNAcentral. Lineage: Eukaryota; Metazoa; Chordata; Mammalia; Primates; Hominidae.